RNAcentral lists this long non-coding RNA (883 nucleotides) under Rattus norvegicus (Norway rat). RNAcentral's name for it is "long non-coding RNA NONRATT027465". Lineage: Eukaryota; Metazoa; Chordata; Mammalia; Rodentia; Muridae. The record is from RNAcentral.
AAGAUUGCGAUCCAGUUUCCAGUGGUGCUUGUUGCUGACCCAAAGCAGAGUUUCUACGAGGUUGCCUAUGCUUGGUGGAGACAGGAUCCAGGGAGAAAGAAAGGAAGCAGUGUCUCAUUAUAAGGUGGUUUGUAAUUCUCAAUCCUCAAACCUUCUAUGUACGAGAGGUUAAUAAUCUGUCUGAUUAUGAAUCAAGAGGAAAUGUCAAGAUACCAAAUUCAGUGUUCUCACUAAGUAUGAGAGACAGCCUUUGAAGAUCCCCCUUGUGGCAGUUGUCAGCUUGGAAAAGCAGUGCUUCUUCAAGUACUCCCACAUUCAGCUAAGGUUACUGUGCCCCACAAAUGGCGUAAAUUAUAUCUUUAUUUCACUUUAGUAACCUUAACAUGACCACUGGCAUAUUUAGAAUUGUGUAAUGUUAUGCACUGGGUAAUAUAGGUAUUUUUAGGUACCUUUGUCAUAUGCAUUGUGGUCAAAGCAUGAAGCUUCCUAACAGAUAGUACUUUUGGUUUUGCCUUUCUGUCCAAAAGACCUAUAAGAUUUCGCAUAUUCAUUUAAACACCUUCUAUAGCAGAAGAAUAACAGUUUUAUCUAUAGUGCCACUAUAAGAAAUCUUUUUUAGUUUUUCAUGCAACUCAUAUUCUCUACAUGCCAUGACCCCUGGAUAUUCACUCAUCAACAGAGAUACAUGUGUGGUAUUCUGAGAAAAAGCUCUUGGGGAAAAAAUACCUGAUUUUUGUUUUUUAAUUCGUUGUGUGACCCUGAAGAUGAAAACCACAGUCUAAAAAGAAUAGAAUAGAGAAGUCACAGUGACCCUAGUCUGUAUUUUUGCUUCUGAAAGAGUUUACAUUGGUAUUCAAUAUUAUAUCUAGACUUUCUCUUCCCC